CCUACGGGAGGCUGCAGUGGGGAAUUUUGGACAAUGGGCGCAAGCCUGAUCCAGCUAUUCCGCGUGUGGGAUGACGGCCUUCGGGUUGUAAACCACUUUUGUAGAGAACGAAAAGUCUGUUGAUAAUACCGAUAGAUGAUUACGGUACUCUAAGAAUAAGCACCGGCUAACUACGUGCCAGCAGCCGCGGUAAUACGUAGGGUGUGUGCGUUAAUCGGAAUUACUGGGCGUAAAGGGUGUGCAGGCGGUUUUGCAAGUUGGAUGUGAAAGCCCCGGGCUUAACCUGGGAAAGCCAUACAUGACUGCAAGACUAGAGUGCGUCAGAGGGGGGUGGAAUUCCAAGUGUAGCAGUGAAAUGCGUAGAUAUUUGGAAGAACACCGAUGGCGAAGGCAGCCCCCUGGGACGCAACUGACGCUCAUACACGAAAGCGUGGGGAGCAAACAGGAUUAGAUACCCGGGUAGUC
Molecule: ribosomal RNA, 465 nt
Filed under: uncultured bacterium
Lineage: Bacteria
Description: partial 16S ribosomal RNA
Rfam family: Bacterial small subunit ribosomal RNA
Source: RNAcentral